UACGUAGGGAGCAAGCGUUGUCCGGAAUCAUUGGGCGUAAAGCGCGCGUAGGUGGUCCCGUAAGUCCGCUGUGAAAGUCAAAGGCUCAACCUUUGAAAGCCGGUGGAUACUGUGGGACUAGAGUACGGAAGAGGCGAGUGGAAUUCCUGGUGUAGCGGUGGAAUGCGCAGAUAUCAGGAGGAACACCGGUGGCGAAGGCGGCAUCCUGGACCAACAUUGACGCUGAGGAGCGAAAGCUAGGGGAGCAAACGGG
This 253-nucleotide ribosomal RNA is filed under the name uncultured bacterium. Its description in RNAcentral is "partial 16S ribosomal RNA". It matches the Rfam family "Bacterial small subunit ribosomal RNA", at positions 524 to 776 of the family's 1533-position model. The record is from RNAcentral.